CAUGGAGUGAUAUCAAUCCUUUUAUAUUAUGAUGUGGCAGGACAAACAUUUUUUGCAUGCAUGUAACCGGUGCCCCACAGCAUUAUUUAUUCAAAAAUUGGGAAAAAAAUUUAGAAAUAAAAGAAGAUGGGAACAAUAUAUAUAUGAUUUUUCUUAUGUCGACGUUAAGUGCCUUGAGAAAGCCACACCAGCCUCCACUGAGAUCCAAAUAUGCUCAUUAAUUUAUUCCAUCACUCGCAAGCGAGGAACGUCAUUUAUUUAUUUAUUUUUGAAUGGAAAUUAAGGUCUGGCGGUUGUAUUCAACCACCUAGAUUUUAUUAGUAGUGAGGCAGAAAUGAGGACAAAAGAAGGGGGGAGGAUAAUACCACACCCAGCCUAACCAAGCACCAAUUA
This 393-nucleotide long non-coding RNA is filed under the name Elaeis guineensis (African oil palm). Its description in RNAcentral is "long non-coding RNA (EGUI_LNC001328)". Lineage: Eukaryota; Viridiplantae; Streptophyta; Magnoliopsida; Arecales; Arecaceae. The record is from RNAcentral.